This is a long non-coding RNA of Gopherus flavomarginatus (Mexican gopher tortoise), 539 nucleotides long. RefSeq lists it as uncharacterized. The record is from RefSeq and is a predicted model, not a curated record. The transcript is spliced from 4 exons. Lineage: Eukaryota; Metazoa; Chordata; Testudines; Testudinidae.
UGAUCGUACCCUAUUUACACCAAUAUCCACUAUGUUAGUCCUCCAGUCAUUGCUAACCUGGCUGGUGAAAACUGAAGCAAAACAGAUGAGAACACCCUCUGUAUUUACAUGUCUCUUGGAAACUCACCUCUUCUGCAAUACACGCAACAGCCUCUGGACCAGAUGACUGGAGAAUAUGUUGGGGAAGAGUCAACACACUUUUGUAAAAGGAAAUCAUGCCUCACAAAUCUGUUAGAAUUCUUUGAGUGUCAACAAGCAUGUGGACAAGGGUGAGCCAGUGGAUAUAGCGUACUUUGACUUUCAGAACAUCUUCUACAAGGUCUCACACCAAAGGCCCUAAAGCAAAACCUCAACAACUCAUUUGUUUGAUGACCGGGCUAUGUGCGUCCGAAGAUGACUGAUCAGUCUGAUUUGGGCGUGGAACGUCCUGUCACACGUUGGGCAGACAUGUGAUGGCACUGUCGAUGAUGUGCGGGCAGCUCUGGACUUGCGCAACUCACACUUUCUUUCAGCCUCAGAGGUAUUACUGCCUGUGUGAA